This 426-nucleotide ribosomal RNA is filed under the name uncultured bacterium. Its description in RNAcentral is "bacterial SSU rRNA". It matches the Rfam family "Bacterial small subunit ribosomal RNA", at positions 29 to 441 of the family's 1533-position model. The record is from RNAcentral.
AACGAACGCUGGCGGCGUGCCUAACACAUGCAAGUCGUGCGAGAAAGUUCCUUCGGGAGCGAGUAAAGCGGCGCACGGGUGAGUAACACGUAGGUAACCUGCCCCCCAGUCUGGAACAACUAGAGGAAACUCUAGCUAAUGCCGGAUGAGACCACGAUCCCUUCGGGGGUUGCGGCCAAAGAUGGCCUCUACUUGUAAGCUAUCGCUGAGGGAUGGGCCUGCGGGCCAUUAGCUUGUUGGUGAGGUAACGGCUCACCAAGGCUGUGAUGGCUAGCUGGUCUGAGAGGAUGACCAGCCACACUGGGACUGAGACACGGCCCAGACUCCUACGGGAGGCAGCAGUGGGGAAUAUUGCGCAAUGGGCGAAAGUCUGACGCAGCGACGCCGCGUGGGUGAUGAAGGCCUGGUCGUAAGACCGUCGUCGUC